This 63-nucleotide transfer RNA is filed under the name Nippostrongylus brasiliensis. The record is from Rfam by way of RNAcentral. Lineage: Eukaryota; Metazoa; Nematoda; Chromadorea; Rhabditida; Heligmosomidae.
AAGAUGUUAACUUAAUUUUAAAGUGUCAAAUUUUUAAUUUGAAAAUGUUUUUUACACAUCUUA